CACCUAUCGUCUAGCGGUUAGGACACCACUCUUUCACAGGGGGAACACGAGUUCGAUCCUCGUUGGGUGUGCCA
Molecule: transfer RNA, 74 nt
Filed under: Salmonella phage phagemcphageface
Lineage: Duplodnaviria; Heunggongvirae; Uroviricota; Caudoviricetes; Demerecviridae
Also listed under: 1 other name
Description: tRNA-Glu
Rfam family: tRNA
About the family: Transfer RNA (tRNA) molecules are approximately 80 nucleotides in length. Their secondary structure includes four short double-helical elements and three loops (D, anti-codon, and T loops).
Source: RNAcentral